This 550-nucleotide ribosomal RNA is filed under the name uncultured Glomeromycotina. RNAcentral's name for it is "SSU rRNA". It matches the Rfam family "Eukaryotic small subunit ribosomal RNA", at positions 548 to 1097 of the family's 1831-position model. Lineage: Eukaryota; Fungi; Glomeromycota. The record is from RNAcentral.
UUGGAGGGCAAGUCUGGUGCCAGCAGCCGCGGUAAUUCCAGCUCCAAUAGCGUAUAUUAAAGUUGUUGCAGUUAAAAAGCUCGUAGUUGAAUUUCGGGGUUCAUCCGUUGGUCGGGCUUUUUGGUCUGUACUGGCGUGAUGGAUUCCUACCUUCUGAAUAACCAGCAUGUCAUUAAUUUGGUGCGCUGGGGAAGCAGGACUGUUACCUUGAAAAAAUUAGAGUGCUUAAAGCAGGCUAUCGCCUGAAUACAUUAGCAUGGAAUAAUGAAAUAGGACGGCAUGGUUCUAUUUUGUUGGUUUCUAGGAUCACCGUAAUGAUUAAUAGGGAUAGUUGGGGGCAUUAGUAUUCAAUUGUCAGAGGUGAAAUUCUUGGAUUUAUUGAAGACUAACUUCUGCGAAAGCAUUUGCCAAGGAUGUUUUCAUUAAUCAAGAACGAAAGUUAGGGGAUCGAAGACGAUCAGAUACCGUCGUAGUCUUAACCAUAAACUAUGCCGACUAGGGAUCGGACGAUGUUAAUUUUUUAAUGACUCGUUCGGCGCCUUACGGGAAA